This 308-nucleotide unclassified non-coding RNA is filed under the name uncultured fungus. Its description in RNAcentral is "partial contains small subunit ribosomal RNA, internal transcribed spacer 1, and 5.8S ribosomal RNA". The stretch from base 1 to 73 matches the Rfam family "Eukaryotic small subunit ribosomal RNA", at positions 1759 to 1831 of the family's 1831-position model. The record is from RNAcentral. Lineage: Eukaryota; Fungi.
GCAAACUUGGUCAUUUAGAGGAAGUAAAAGUCGUAACAAGGUUUCCGUAGGUGAACCUGCGGAAGGAUCAUUACAGUAUUCUUUUGCCAGCGCUUAAUUGCGCGGCGAAAAACCUUACACACUGUGUUUUUGUUUUACAAAUCAUUGCUUUGGCUUGGCCUUAACUGGUUGGGCCAGAGGUUUACACUAAACUUCAAUAUUUUAUUGAAUUGUUUUUAAUAUAUCAGUCAAUUUGUUGAUUAAAUUCAAAAAUCUUCAAAACUUUCAACAACGGAUCUCUUGGUUCUCGCAUCGAUGAAGAACGCAGC